ACAUCCCGAGAUUGGUGCCCCCUUGGGGUCGGUGUACCGGUGGUGCAUGGCUGUCGUCAGCUCGUGUCGUGAGAUGUUGGGUUAAGUCCCGCAACGAGCGCAACCCUUGUUCUGUGUUGCCAGCAUGCCCUUCGGGGUGAUGGGGACUCACAGGAAACCGCCGGGGUCAACUCGGAGGAAGGUGGGGACGACAUCAAGUCAUCAUGCCCCUUAUGUCUUGGGCUGCACACGUGCUACAAUGGCCGGUACAAUGAGCUGCGAUACCGUGAGGUGAAGCGAAUCUCAAAAAGCCGGUCUCAUUUCGGAUUGGGGUCUGCAACUCAACCCCAUGAAUUCGAAUUCGCUAGUAAUCGCAAAUCACCAUUGCUGCGGUGAAUACAUUCCCGGGCCUUGUACACACC
RNAcentral lists this ribosomal RNA (401 nucleotides) under uncultured bacterium. RNAcentral's name for it is "bacterial SSU rRNA". It matches the Rfam family "Bacterial small subunit ribosomal RNA", at positions 998 to 1391 of the family's 1533-position model. The record is from RNAcentral.